ACACGACUCUCGGCAACGGAUAUCUCGGCUCUCGCAUCGAUGAAGAACGCAGCGAAAUGCGAUACCUGGUGUGAAUUGCAGAAUCCCGUGAAUCAUCGAGUCUUUGAACGCAAGUUGCGCCCGAGGCCAUUCGGUCGAGGGCACGCCUGCCUGGGCGUCACGCGU
Molecule: ribosomal RNA, 165 nt
Filed under: Tristerix grandiflorus
Lineage: Eukaryota; Viridiplantae; Streptophyta; Magnoliopsida; Santalales; Loranthaceae
Also listed under: 3 other names
Description: 5.8S ribosomal RNA
Rfam family: 5.8S ribosomal RNA
About the family: 5.8S ribosomal RNA (5.8S rRNA) is a component of the large subunit of the eukaryotic ribosome. It is transcribed by RNA polymerase I as part of the 45S precursor that also contains 18S and 28S rRNA.
Source: RNAcentral